Molecule: ribosomal RNA, 1370 nt
Filed under: uncultured bacterium
Lineage: Bacteria
Description: bacterial SSU rRNA
Rfam family: Bacterial small subunit ribosomal RNA
Source: RNAcentral
GAUGAACGCUGGCGGCGUGCCUAAUACAUGCAAGUCGAGCGAACGGACGAGAAGCUUGCUUCUCUGAUGUUAGCGGCGGACGGGUGAGUAACACGUGGAUAACCUACCUAUAAGACUGGGAUAACUUCGGGAAACCGGAGCUAAUACCGGAUAAUAUUUUGAACCGCAUGGUUCAAAAGUGAAAGACGGUCUUGCUGUCACUUAUAGAUGGAUCCGCGCUGCAUUAGCUAGUUGGUAAGGUAACGGCUUACCAAGGCAACGAUGCAUAGCCGACCUGAGAGGGUGAUCGGCCACACUGGAACUGAGACACGGUCCAGACUCCUACGGGAGGCAGCAGUAGGGAAUCUUCCGCAAUGGGCGAAAGCCUGACGGAGCAACGCCGCGUGAGUGAUGAAGGUCUUCGGAUCGUAAAACUCUGUUAUUAGGGAAGAACAUAUGUGUAAGUAACUGUGCACAUCUUGACGGUACCUAAUCAGAAAGCCACGGCUAACUACGUGCCAGCAGCCGCGGUAAUACGUAGGUGGCAAGCGUUAUCCGGAAUUAUUGGGGGUAAAGCGCGCGUAGCGGUUUUUUAGUCUGAUGUGAAAGCCCACGGCUCAACCGUGGAGGGUCAUUGGAAACUGGAAAACUUGAGUGCAGAAGAGGAAAGUGGAAUUCCAUGUGUAGCGGUGAAAUGCGCAGAGAUAUGGAGGAACACCAGUGGCGAAGGCGACUUUCUGGUCUGUAACUGACGCUGAUGUGCGAAAGCGUGGGGAUCAAACAGGAUUAGAUACCCUGGUAGUCCACGCCGUAAACGAUGAGUGCUAAGUGUUAGGGGGUUUCCGCCCCUUAGUGCUGCAGCUAACGCAUUAAGCACUCCGCCUGGGGAGUACGACCGCAAGGUUGAAACUCAAAGGAAUUGACGGGGACCCGCACAAGCGGUGGAGCAUGUGGUUUAAUUCGAAGCAACGCGAAGAACCUUACCAAAUCUUGACAUCCUUUGACAACUCUAGAGAUAGAGCCUUCCCCUUCGGGGGACAAAGUGACAGGUGGUGCAUGGUUGUCGUCAGCUCGUGUCGUGAGAUGUUGGGUUAAGUCCCGCAACGAGCGCAACCCUUAAGCUUAGUUGCCAUCAUUAAGUUGGGCACUCUAAGUUGACUGCCGGUGACAAACCGGAGGAAGGUGGGGAUGACGUCAAAUCAUCAUGCCCCUUAUGAUUUGGGCUACACACGUGCUACAAUGGACAAUACAAAGGGCAGCGAAACCGCGAGGUCAAGCAAAUCCCAUAAAGUUGUUCUCAGUUCGGAUUGUAGUCUGCAACUCGACUACAUGAAGCUGGAAUCGCUAGUAAUCGUAGAUCAGCAUGCUACGGUGAAUACGUUCCCGGGUCU